GUGAGGAAUAUUGCGCAAUGGAGGCAACUCUGACGCAGCCAUGCCGCGUGCAGGAAGAAGGCGCUACGCGUUGUAAACUGCUUUUAACCGGGAAGAAACCCCAGGACGUGUCCUGGGUUGACGGUACCGGAGGAAUAAGCACCGGCUAACUUCGUGCCAGCAGCCGCGGUAAUACGAAGGGUGCAAGCGUUAUCCGGUUUCAUUGGGCUUAAAGGGUGCGUAGGCGGAGUGUUAAGUCAGUGGUGAAAUCCUGCAGCUUAACUGUAGACUUGCCAUUGAUACUGGCGCUCUUGAGUGCGCUGGAAGUGGGCGGAAUGUGCCGUGUAGCGGUGAAAUGCUUAGAUAUGGCACAGAACACCAAUUGCGAAGGCAGCUCACUAAGGCGAUACUGACGCUGAGGCACGAAAGCGUGGGGAUCGAACAGGAUUAGAAACCCCGGUAGUCC
This 445-nucleotide ribosomal RNA is filed under the name uncultured bacterium. RNAcentral's name for it is "partial 16S ribosomal RNA". It matches the Rfam family "Bacterial small subunit ribosomal RNA", at positions 354 to 796 of the family's 1533-position model. The record is from RNAcentral.